UGGGGAAUUUUGCGCAAUGGGCGAAAGCCUGACGCAGCAACGCCGCGUGAGUGAUGAAGGCUUUCGGGUCGUAAAGCUCUGUCAGGGGGAAAGAAGUGUAUUGUGGUUAAUACCCACGAUACUUGACGGUACCCUCAAAG
Molecule: ribosomal RNA, 140 nt
Filed under: uncultured Geobacter sp.
Lineage: Bacteria; Pseudomonadati; Thermodesulfobacteriota; Desulfuromonadia; Geobacterales; Geobacteraceae
Description: partial 16S ribosomal RNA
Rfam family: Bacterial small subunit ribosomal RNA
Source: RNAcentral